Molecule: ribosomal RNA, 301 nt
Filed under: uncultured bacterium
Lineage: Bacteria
Description: partial 16S ribosomal RNA
Rfam family: Bacterial small subunit ribosomal RNA
Source: RNAcentral
CAGUCGCCACGGGAAUACGGAGGGUGCAAGCGUUAUCCGGAUUUAUUGGGUUUAAAGGGUCCGUAGGCGGAUCUGUAAGUCAGUGGUGAAAUCUCACAGCUUAACUGUGAAACUGCCAUUGAUACUGCAGGUCUUGAGUAAAUUUGAAGUGGCUGGAAUAAGUAGUGUAGCGGUGAAAUGCAUAGAUAUUACUUAGAACACCAAUUGCGAAGGCAGGUCACUAAGAUUUAACUGACGCUGAUGGACGAAAGCGUGGGGAGCGAACAGGAUUAGAGACCCCUGUAGUCCCUGUCUCUUAUAC